Molecule: ribosomal RNA, 403 nt
Filed under: bacterium
Lineage: Bacteria
Description: partial 16S ribosomal RNA
Rfam family: Bacterial small subunit ribosomal RNA
Source: RNAcentral
UGGGGAAUAUUGCACAAUGGGGGAAACCCUGAUGCAGCGACGCCGCGUGAACGAAGAAGGUAUUCGUAUCGUAAAGUUCUGUCCUAUGGGAAGAUAAUGACAGUACCAUAGAAGAAAGCUCCGGCUAAAUACGUUCCAGCAGCCGCGGUAAUACGUAUGGAGCGAGCGUUGUCCGGAAUUAUUGGGCGUAAAGGGUACGCAGGCGGUUUAAUAAGUCGAAUGUUAAAGAUCGGGGCUCAACCCCGCAAAGCAUUGGAAACUGAUAAACUUGAGUAGUGGAGAGGAAAGUGGAAUUCCUAGUGUAGUGGUGAAAUACGUAGAUAUUAGGAGGAAUACCAGUAGCGAAGGCGACGUUCUGGACACAAACUGACGCUGAGGUACGAAAGCGUGGGGAGCAAACAGG